AACCAUAGAAACCUGCGGAGUACCUGCGGAAGGAUCAUUACAGAGUGUGACCCCCUGUAAAAAGGGGGGUACCUCCCGUCCUUUGCAGGCCCUUUAGGGUCUUUUACACUUUGCUUCGGUGGGGUAACCCACCGGAACACCCUCAAAAAUUCUGAUUUUAAAAUUGUUCAGUCUGAGAAUUUUGAAAAUAAAAUAAAAACUUUCAGCAAUGGAUCU
Molecule: unclassified non-coding RNA, 216 nt
Filed under: soil metagenome
Description: partial contains 5.8S ribosomal RNA, internal transcribed spacer 2, and large subunit ribosomal RNA
Source: RNAcentral